Molecule: long non-coding RNA, 5905 nt
Organism: Marmota monax (woodchuck)
Lineage: Eukaryota; Metazoa; Chordata; Mammalia; Rodentia; Sciuridae
Exons: 3
Source: RefSeq, a predicted model, not a curated record
UAAAGUACCCCUGAGUUCAAACCCCAGUACCAAAAACAAAAACAAAAGGCAGAGUUAGCUAUACUGCUGAGGCUGGCCUUGAAUUUGCCAUCCUCCUGCCUCAGCCUCUGGAGUUGCUGGGAUUACAGGCCUGUGCCACCCCAUCCCUCCUCCCUUUUUAGCAGCCUCUGUUCCUUAGCUUGCUAUGAAUCUGACCCUUCCCUAAUCCUUGGAAACACAUUUUCCCACUUCAUCUGGAACCAAGAGAUCUGCCGUGACAUUUAACUGUGUGUAUCUUGCUUCUUACCAAUUAAUGUACAAUAUAAACUUCCAAAAGGCAGAGCCCAUAUUAUAAGUCUGUGAUGGCUCAUCCUGACCUUAAAGAACAAAACAGAUUUUAACAUAUGCACUUGAAUUGGGGUGACAGUGAUCUUCAUCAACAUGGCCAUCCUGGGAAGCCUCUAUUGUGCCUUCCCAGUGAGAGUAAAACCUCAUCAAACACUUCCUGAGAUUGGGGAGGGAAGAAAUUCCAGACAGCCUGAGUGACUGUAAACCAACUGGUGGGCUACAGAGCGACUACUUGGGACACAGAGUUAUUUUUUUGGUGUGUGUGUGUGUGUGUGUGUACCAGGGAUUGAACCCAGAGGUGCUUUACCAUCCUCAGCCACUUUAUUCUUUGAGACAGUGUCUCACUAAGUUGCUUAGGGCCUUGCUAAAUUGCUGAGACUGUCCUCAAAUUUGUGAUCCUCCUGCCUCAGCCUCCCAAACUGCUGGGAUUACAGGCAUGAGCCCCUGCGCCUGGUGGCACUGAACCUUUUGCAUGGUCCACAUGCUGCAGGCCAGCAGGCAGAGGUGUCUGGAGAGCACUCGCGGUGGGGAGGGAGGACGGGAUGACUCUGUGCUUCCCUGCAGGGAGAGGGAGUCCCCUUCCUCCAUAAUCCACACCAACUCAAAGAGCAAACCUCCGAAUGGCCUGUAAAUCUGCACUGUCUCCCCGCUGCUCCCUCUCCCCUUUCUUGCUGGAGUGUGGAGUUCCUACUGUGUGCCAGGCGCUGAGCUGGGCAACACCGUCACAGAAUGGUUAAGUCAUAUCAUUCCAUAUUUGUAAGAAGGAAAAAAAAAUCUGUAGUACAGGGGACAUUUGCCAUGCCUUAUGAUCACCAGCACCUUUCCUGUUUAUGGGUUUUCCCCACAUCAUAAAUCCCACUUCCCCAAAGUAAAGGACAGAAAUGUCCUCUCCCACACACUGCAGCAGCCACGGUGUAGGCGGGUGACCUAGGUUCCACCAGUCAGAUGCAUCCAUGUGAGACUGAUUUGGAAAAGAGCCACAGCGAUGCAGGCUUCGUGGAAAGAGGAGCCCAAGGCAGCAUCUUUAAAGCCACAGGAGCCACACGGGGAAAAUUCUGGAGUUUAAUUUCCACCAUGUUUGUUGGUGAGAGGGAUGAGGUAAGUUCCAGAGUUUUAGCUGAGAGGUGGCUGCAUUUUUUCCCCCUGGUACUGGGGAUUGAACCAGGUCUCUACCAUUGGGCUCUGCCGCACGAUUAUCUUAAAACCGGGAACACCCUAAUCUGCCUUGGUCCUUGAGCAAGGUCACCUACAUUCAAUGUCACUGCAACAUGUCAGCAACAUGGGGUACGCUGGCAAGGAAAUUGUCAUACCUACUUGGCUAAUGGCUCCCAGCAGGGCUCCAUCUCAGCCCUUUUUUAUUUUAAUUUGAAACAGGGUCUUGCUAGGCUGGACUUGAACUUGUGAUCCUCCUGCCUCAGCCUCCCAAAAGGCUGGGAUUGUCAGGGAGCUCCAUGACACCUGGCCAGCCAUAGAUUUCUGUCAGAGUGGAUUCUGUCAUCUGAACUAGAGCACUCUGAUGCAGACAGAGAGCUGGACAAGUAGAUGGCAGUUGGAUCGGUAGGUGGGGGGUUGCAUGAGCAAAUAGAAGGUUGGACAGAUGGGUGGGUAGGUGGACAUCCACAUACUGACUGGCUUUUCUGGGGAAAUGGGAUUAUAGAUUAUAGAUUUUUUCCCUCUGAUUAUAUUAAUUUCUUCCUUUUCUUUUAUUUCGUGGGGCAGGGGGAGUACUGGGGAUUGAACCCAGGGGUGUUCUACCACUGAGCUGCAUUUAUUUUGAGACAGGGUUUCACUACAUUGCUGAGGCUGGCCUCAAACUCCUGAUCCUCCUGCCUCAGCCUCUCCAGUAGCUAGAUUAUAGGUGUGCUCCCCCAGCUCCUUCCCGCAUUUUCUCUUCUCUUUUAGGGGAAGCAUGUUAUUUGUCUAAUAAUAAAAAAGUUACCAGAAACCCAGACUUGUAAUUGCUCAUUCAGGUGGAGGUCAGUUCAGGGCAGCUAGAAGCCAACUCUGAACACAAGGUUCCAUUUUGACAGUUCUGGGGAUGGAAGGCAGGUCUUCGUCUGCGUUAGGCAAGCACUCAGCACCCUCCAUCCUGAACACGGGGCCCUCAACCAGGAGCAGCCCAAGGGGCUCUGGGCUCUAGACUUUCCCACUCUCUCACCACACCAGUCCUGACCGGCAACCCAAGCCCUUCCUCCCUCUCUCCAUCCUCUGAACCCCACAGCAUGGCCCCACCCGCCAGAAACACAUGCCAGGCUCCUUGUGACAUGGUUCCUAUUGUUACCCAACAAUCCCAUUUCACCUUGAGCAAGGAUGACAUGCACAUUGUGACUCAUCUCAUAUGUUCUGCCCUCUCCCUGCGGCACUGACCGUCCCUCAGCUGCCGUGGGCCACGCAGGGCCUGGUUCCGCAGCUCUUUUUCACGCGGGCAUAUCCCAUUGCCGGCAGAGACCCUCAGCCCUGGGAUGGAAACGUGUGUGAUUUCAACAGAUCCCUUUGUUCCCUGCAGCUUUAUAGAAGUCAGGCUUUGUUUCUAGACGACGGGGAUCAUAUUGUUUAUUUUUACGUCGAUGAUUUUCUCCCUAAUGAAAGCAUAAGAUUUUGUAGGCGGGGUCCCUUUGUGCAGUUGGUCAGCAUUUAAUGAGUGUCAAUGGCGGGCCAGUCUGUGUGUUGGUUGCUGGGGUCAGGAGGAAAUAGGGACAAACCCUGGUCCCUUCCAACGUGUUAGAGUUUAAUAGCAAGAAAGACAUGCUUUUAAGUAAAUGGAGAAGUGCUCUGAUAGCUCUGUGUUCAGGAUAGAGAAGGGAGUGGUUGGUUGGGACAGAAAAGUCCUUUUUAUUUAUUUAGCAGUACUAGGGAUUAAACCCAGGGUGCUCUACCACCGCUACACUCUCAGUCCCUUUUGUGUUUUGAGACAGGGUCUUGCCACGUUGCAGAGGGUCUCACUAAAUUGCUGAGGCUGGUGUCCAUCUAUCUUCCUGCGUGAGUCAAGUCGUUGGAUUGUAGGUGUGCACCACUGCACCCCACUAAAAUUUUUUUUUUUUAAAACCUGGUACAGAGAAGCACGCCUGUAACUCUAACUACUUGGGAAGCUGAGGCAGAAGGAUUGCAAGUUCAAAAUAUAUAUAUUUUUUUGAUACCAGAUGUUAAACCUAAGGACACUCCAUCACUGAGCCACAUCCCCAGCCCUUUUUUAUGUUUUAUUUUGAGAUAGGGUCUUGCUAAGUUUCUAGAGCCUCGCUAAAUGGCUGAGGCUGGCUUUGAACUUGUGAUUCUCCUGCCUCCACCUCUCAGACUGCUGGGAUUGUAGGCAUGUGCUACUGUGAAUUUAAGUGCUCUUUUCUCCCAUGUCCUGGACUGACUUUGGAGAUGUCCCCGUCUCUGAACCACUCUGGCAGGAUGGUCUCAGCCAGUUGUUACCUGUGCAUGGGCUGCUAAGUUAUUGCAAGAAGUCCCUGUGUCUAUUUGCACACCAAAUACCGUCUGCCGCCUGUGAUUGCGACCAUUUCCAGAAGGAAGCAGGACUCCUCUUGUCGGAGCAGGUUGGAAGCCACUGAGUUGGGCUGUCAAGCCAGUGUGUCAUUUCCCUUGGGCCCAGGGGUGUCAUGAGACCCGAGGUCAAGUUUCAGCUCCUCCCAGGGAUGGCUAGAUGAUCUUGGGGGCAGCCCCUCGUGACUUGGAGAGCUUUGGUUUCCUCAUCCUGGAGCAGAGAUUGUGAAAAUUAUUUGUCAGGAUUGUCAACAAGAUUAGAUGAGAUAAUGAGAGGACUUUGAAAACUGGGGAGUGAUGCUCAGGGGUAAGGGUGGUUCCUUGUCUUCUGCUUACACAUGCUAUGGAUUGAAGGUCAGGGAAGGUGUCUUUGGUUUUCUUCUUCAGUCCUCCUAAUGAUACCCACUCAUUCCUGUCACCUCCUGUAUUCAACCAGGAUUGGACGUAGAGAAGACCUCAGAAAAACACAGCAAAAUGACCUGCACAGGGACUUAGCAAAUAGCAUCCGGGGCAUGCACGUGCCAUCUGCGGUGGGAGAGGCAGGGCUGUGCUGUGGUUCCAGUGUGGGCCUGGGUAGCCAGGUUAGCAAGUGUGACCUUGGGCAAGAUGAGCACUAAUGUCCUCAUCUAUCACAGUGGUAGUUCAGGAAGCUGUUGGGAGAACUGAAGGGGUUUGUUUGGUCUAUGUGUCAGGCCAGGAGCAAAUCACUCUGUUAGCAUCAGUAGUUGUUACUAUUUUACUAUUCUAUGCUGAGUGAUUCUUCAAACUGGAAAUGGGAGAUUUGGCUUCUGGUUUCGUUUUGUUUUUGCACUACUAGGUAGGUUGCUGGGGAUCUUUCUGCCUCAACCUCCAGAGUUGCUGGGAUUACAGGCAAGUGCUACACCAUCGGACUUCUGGUUUUGUUAAGAAUUAUCCAAGCUGGGCUUAGUGGUGCACAUCUGUCAUCCCAGCGACUCAGGAGGCUGAAUCAGAGGAUCGCAAGUGUGAGGCCAGCCUCAGCAACUUUGUGAGGCCCUAAGCAACUUAUGGAAACUGUCUCAAAAUAAAAUAUAAAACAGGCUGGGGAUGUGGCUCUGUGGUUUAGUACCCCUGAGUUCAAUCCCUGGUAGCCCCCCCAUCCACCCACCAAAAGAAAAAAAGAUUUGUCAGAGUCAUCAAAGAUGGUAAGAUGCUCAGGCCAGCCCUUAAGGUCAGCACAAAGAAGGUAGCAGUAAAUAUGCUGGACACCAUUGCCCUUGGCCGUGGGCUAGAUUCCUAGGCUACAAAUUGUUGAAUAAGAGGUGUGUAUAUUUAACAUCUUGGACAAAUAUCACAACUGUCCAACAUGCAGAUGAUCCUGUUUGCACUGCCUGGCCACAGGCUGAGAAUAACUGUUUCUCCCCACCGCCUUCUCCCAACCCAUAUUUUAAACUUAAAUUUCAUUAAUUUUGAUUGGGUAAUAUUUUCAGAUCACACAAAAUUCACAAAAGGUCAGGAAAGAGCCUACAGUGAGACAUUACCCCCUGUCACAACCAUUCACAUACAUCCCCAGGAACACAAACUUUGUUAUCAGUCCAUCCGAUAAAGGGAAAAUGGUAUCUCACUAAAUGAAUCUCUGUUAUUUUGAUGUGAAAAUCAGUGUAUAUUAUGGAGUAAAAUGUUGCAUUUGAAUGAACUUUAAGAUAAAACAGGAGACUUUAAAGGCAUUUUAUGCUCAGGGGUGGGGCCAGUUGGGCACUGCUCCUGGCUCUCUGUCUCUUGCCUUCUCUUGGCAGAAAAAUUUGUACAGUUUUUUUGUUUGUUUUUUUGGAACUGGGUAUUGAACCCAGGGGCACUUAACCACUCAGCCACAUCCCCAGCCCUUUUUUUGUAUUUUAUUUAGAGACAGGGUCUCACUGAAUUGCUUAGGGCCUUGCUAAAUUGUUGAAGCUGGCUUUGAAUUCAGGAUCCUCCUGCCUCGGCCUCCUGAGCUGCUGGGAUUAUACAGGUAUAACAGACUUGGAGCAAAGUGCAUGGAGUUUUUCAGAAUAACUGGAUGCAUUUUUACAUUUGUGGAUACCCACUUAACCUGCACCCCACCCCAUCCGAGGCCGGGAUUCGCAGCAUCUGUACA